UACGAAGGGGGCUAGCGUUGUUCGGAAUCACUGGGCGUAAAGCGAGCGCAGGUGGUCAAGUUAAGUCGGAAGUGAAAGCCUGGGGCUCAACCUCAGAAUUGCUUUCGAUACUGAUUGACUAGAGUCUGGAAGAGGGGUGUGGAAUUUCUAGUGUAGAGGUGAAAUUCGUAGAUAUUAGAAGGAACACCAGUGGCGAAGGCGACACCCUGGUACAUGACUGACACUGAGGCUCGAAAGCGUGGGGAGCAAACAGG
This 254-nucleotide ribosomal RNA is filed under the name uncultured bacterium. RNAcentral describes it as "partial 16S ribosomal RNA". It matches the Rfam family "Bacterial small subunit ribosomal RNA", at positions 524 to 776 of the family's 1533-position model. The record is from RNAcentral.